Long non-coding RNA from Cynocephalus volans (Philippine flying lemur), 2651 nucleotides. RefSeq lists it as uncharacterized. The record is from RefSeq and is a predicted model, not a curated record. Lineage: Eukaryota; Metazoa; Chordata; Mammalia; Dermoptera; Cynocephalidae. The transcript is spliced from 3 exons.
GGACAGCUCCAUGAGGGCUGGACUGCUCCCACCUCCUACACCUCUCCGCCAGUCUCCCAGUGGCUUCUUCCCUCCCCUGACUCCCAAUGUCCAGGGCUCCUCAGACCCUGUCCCCACACCGGCCUAAGAGCUCAUCACCAUAUUAAGAAAGGAAAAGGGAGAGGCGCUGGAACUAAAAAUAAGACCAGAUGAGUCGGAGGUAACAGCUGACGAUUUCCCCCAGCUCUCUUUAUCACUUCUCUCUUACCCUGGAUAUUUUGGGGCUCAGCCGACCCUCUACUCUGAAAGAGGCCUGGGAAUGAACCGACCCACAGGGAAAAGCAGAGGAGCUCUCUGAGCAAAGCGAAAGGGGCAAGUGGGUGAAGGAAAAGGAAGAUCCACCAGGAUGAGGGUGGGCAGGAGUGAAAGGCUCCCCGGGACGACUCAUUCAUCCAAGAAGGGACCAGUAAAGAGCCCAGGCACAGGGACCAAGCUUUCGGAGAUGUCUAUCACCCUGUGUAGAGCAGGGCUGAGGUGCCUCACCUAAAGUAAAGACUGCAGAGAUUCAGAAAACACUGUUCCAGCCUCUAUUUCAAGGCCACACCAGAGAGAAUGGGCUGAGUGACGGGAUGGAGCCGAGAUGCUCUGACGACGGGGACACAGGGCAGAGACCACCAGUCUGCCUGGAGUCCUUCCCUCCUGCCUGCCCUUCCUCAGAGGGCACCACGUGACCAUUCCCAUCAUUUAACCUCAUUGGACCUCAGAUUCUUCAUUGAUCAAAUAAGGUCUCCUCUGGCACCACAACUCUACGGUCCAUACACUGGUCUGAGGAAUGGGGGGACAGAUGAACCCACCCCACCGGCCUCUGCUGUGGGCCCCUCUACAGGGUAUGGCUCAGCUGCCCCUCUCUCACUCCCUUUCCAUUUCUCUGAGCCCCACUGGACUUCUGGGACAGUUGUUUAUCCUGUUCUUGCUCUCCAAGGGAUCACAGAGUGUCUUAAGGUAGAGGAUAGCCCUCAAGGGGCAAGGAUGUUUGAUUCACAUCCCCUCCCAGUCUGGCCUCCAGUCCCUGAAAGACUCUCCCCACCCCAACUCCGGCUACCAUGAAGAUCUAUGGAGGGAGCUUCACAGCAAUCUCCACGCCCCCCAAAUCACAUGCCACACAUCCAGACAGGUGAGGGCUGUUCCAAACAUUUAUUCUCUGGAGACUGGCUACCAGAUUCAACACGGCUAUGCCCCUCCCCUCUGGGCUCCCUUCAACCCACCCAUCUCCUACUGUGACAUCCUUAAUCCAGCCCCAGCAUUGCCUGUCUCUCUCAUCCAAGGUAAUUCAACCUAGUGUCUCUUGGCCCCCAACUCAUGUGACCUCUCAGAUGUUGUGUCAAACGCAUGAUCCCUAACCCUACCCCAGCUCUCAUGACAUCCCUAUGCCAUGGGAAGCUCUUCCUCUGCUGAGUUUAGUAGUACGUCUCCCUCUCCAGCCAGCCUAUGGAAGAGAAGACACCAGAGUGAAAUGAAAGAAGGCAGCAGGGGGAGAGAGGCAGAAGGAAAGCAAGGACAAGGUCGGAAGCCUGGGGUCUGGAACACAGGAGCAGAGGGUUGGGGUCUCUACCAACAGGAGUAGAGGGCACAGUAGAGGCCAGCCAGUGAGUGGAGAGAAGAUCAGUAGGUCUGGAGGAGUGAGGUGGAUGGGCCAGCUAGUUAGGGGGCUGGUGGCCACUCAAUCAGGGCAGGGCCCAGGGGAGCCUCACCACCAGGUCGUUGACGGAUGAUGAGUUUUCUGAUUUCAUCAUAGAUGAAGAUAAGAAUGCUGUAGGGAAUGGCACAGAACCACCAGACCAUCCUGCAGAGAUCAAGAGUCAGUCAGUGUGGCAGGAAGUACAGAGGCCAGAGAAAGGCAGGUGCAGGGAACAGUGUGCAGGAAUCAUGUGUCUCAUGUGUUGUGUCCACUAUCUGCCUGGGACUGCCGAGGGCUGGAGACAGCGAGGUGGGGUUUUUCCUACUAUUCAGUCCAUCACACAGGAGUUCCGAGAGCUGGGUCCCAGCUUGGUCCUCACCAUGUCAGUGCCCAGAUCAAUGCAGAGGAUGGUUAUGGUGCCCAGAGGCAGGGGUAUACGGAGGAUGAUGAACAGCAGGAAGGGCGUGAUCUCAGGAAUGUUGCUGGUCAAGGUGUAGGCGAUGGAUUUCUUCAGGUUGUCGAAGAUGAGGCGGCCUGGAGAGAAUGGUCAACCUUCUGUGAGAAGCUCUGAGAGGAUGCACCUCCCACAAACAAGCUCCUGGACAAAGAGACCACUACAAAAAAGGGUCCAUGAGAGGGUCUGGAGAUCCUAGACCUCAGCAGUCCCAGUUUAGUUUUUAUUUGUGUGACUGUUAAUUAGAGCCAUGAUUUAUCAGCAUGCCCUGUCUGUGUGCUCUUUGUUCUCGGAUUCAACAUGGCUAAUGUUAUCUGAUCUCUGAAAAUUAAGCAGGGUUGGGCCUCGUUAAUCCUGAGAUGUCUGAGAAUAUCAGUAUAAAAUGUUUUACAAGAUUAAAGCUGAUGUGCAAAGAGUCUGGGUUUGGGACAGGCAUGUGUUUCAAUUCCAUCUUUUGCCAUAACUAGUUUGUGACCUUGGGCACCCCUCGCCUCUCUGAGCUUUAUUUCUCCUGAUUUUGCCAGAUUGUGGAUUUUUCCU